UACGUAGGUGGCGAGCGUUGUUCGGAAUUAUUGGGCGUAAAGGGUCCGUAGGUGGCUGAUUAAGUUUGAUGUGAAAUCCCAGAGCUCAACUCUGGAACUGCAUUGAAGACUGAUUGGCUGGAGUAUUGGAGAGGAGAUUGGAAUUUCAGGUGUAGCGGUGGAAUGCGUAGAUAUCUGGAAGAACACCGAGAGCGUAGGCAGAUCUCUGGACAAUGACUGACACUGAGGGACGAAAGCAUGGGUAGCAAAC
Molecule: ribosomal RNA, 250 nt
Filed under: uncultured prokaryote
Description: partial 16S ribosomal RNA
Rfam family: Bacterial small subunit ribosomal RNA
Source: RNAcentral